Molecule: ribosomal RNA, 374 nt
Filed under: Nematoda sp.
Lineage: Eukaryota; Metazoa; Nematoda
Description: SSU rRNA
Rfam family: Eukaryotic small subunit ribosomal RNA
Source: RNAcentral
CUGAAUAACUACUCCGAUCGCACGGUCUCGCACCGGCGACGCAUCUUUCAAGUGUCUGCCUUAUCAACUGUCGAUGGUAGUUUAUGUGCCUACCAUGGUUGUAACGGGUAACGGAGAAUAAGGGUUCGACUCCGGAGAGGGAGCCCGAGAAACGGCUACCACAUCCAAGGAAGGCAGCAGGCGCGCAAAUUACCCACUCUCAGCACGAGGAGGUAGUGACGAAAAAUAACGAGACGGAUCUCUUUGAGGCCCGUUAUCGGAAUGAGAACAAUUCAAAUCCUUUAACGAGGAUCUAGCGGAGGGCAAGUCUGGUGCCAGCAGCCGCGGUAAUUCCAGCUCCGCAGGUGUAUAUCUAUGCUGCUGCGGUUAAAAAG